Molecule: ribosomal RNA, 417 nt
Filed under: uncultured soil bacterium
Lineage: Bacteria
Description: bacterial SSU rRNA
Rfam family: Bacterial small subunit ribosomal RNA
Source: RNAcentral
AGGACGAACGCUGGCGGCGCGCUUAACACAUGCAAGUCGAGCGAGAACCAGUCCUUCGGGACUGGGGACAGCGGCGAACGGGUGAGUAACACGUGGGUAAUCUGCCCUCGAUUCUGGGAUAGCCCGGGGAAACCCGGAUUAAUACCGGAUAGCCUCUCGAGCUUUCGAGCUCGUGAGAAAAGGUAGCUUCGGCCUCCGAUCGAGGAUGAGCCCGCGGCGGAUUAGCUUGUUGGUGGGGUAAUGGCCUACCAAGGCGACGAUCCGUAGCUGGUCUGAGAGGACGAUCAGCCACACUGGGACUGAGACACGGCCCAGACUCCUACGGGAGGCAGCAGUGGGAAUCUUAGCGCAAUGGGACGAAAGCCUGACGCAGCGACGCCGCGGUGGGGGAAGAACGGCCUUCGGGUUGUAAACCUC